Molecule: transfer RNA, 67 nt
Filed under: Tetrancistrum nebulosi
Lineage: Eukaryota; Metazoa; Platyhelminthes; Monogenea; Dactylogyridea; Ancyrocephalidae
Description: tRNA-Pro
Source: RNAcentral
CAGAGAUAUAGUUUAAGUAAAAUAUUACUUUUGGGGAGUAAAGAUCUUUGUCUUAUAAGUGUUCUGG